This 357-nucleotide non-coding RNA is filed under the name Helianthus annuus (common sunflower). Its description in RNAcentral is "Bacterial large subunit ribosomal RNA". It matches the Rfam family "Bacterial large subunit ribosomal RNA", at positions 2652 to 2912 of the family's 2925-position model. The record is from Rfam by way of RNAcentral. Lineage: Eukaryota; Viridiplantae; Streptophyta; Magnoliopsida; Asterales; Asteraceae.
CGUUAGAGCAUUGAGAGGACCUUUCCCUAGUACGAGAGGACCGGGAAGGACGCGCCUCUGGUGUACCAGUUAUCGUGCCCACGGUAAACGCUGGGUAGCCAAGUGCGGAGCGGAUAACUGCUGAAAGCAUCUAAGUAGUAAGCCCACCUCAAGAUGAGUGCUCUCCUAUUCCAACUUCCCUAGAGCCUUCGGUAGCACAUCCGAGACAGCGACGGGUUCUCUGCCCCUGCGGGGAUGGAGCGACAGAAGUUUUCAGAAUUCAAGAGAAGGUCACGGUGAGACGAGCCGUUUAUCAUUACGAUAGGUGUCAAGUGGAAGUGCAGUGAUGUAUGCAGCUGAGGCAUCCUAACAGACCGG